RNAcentral lists this ribosomal RNA (442 nucleotides) under uncultured bacterium. Its description in RNAcentral is "partial 16S ribosomal RNA". It matches the Rfam family "Bacterial small subunit ribosomal RNA", at positions 338 to 795 of the family's 1533-position model. The record is from RNAcentral.
CCUACGGGAGGCAGCAGUAGGGAAUCUUUCACAAUGGGCGAAAGCCUGAUGGAGCAACGCCGCGUGCAGGAUGAAGGCCUUCGGGUUGUAAACUGCUUUUAUAAGCGAGAAAUAUGAUGGUAACUUAUGAAUAAGGAUCGGCUAACUUCGUGCCAGCAGCCGCGGUCAUACGUAGGAUCCGAGAAUUAUCCGGAGUGACUGGGUGUAAAGAGUUGCGUAGGUGGCAUAAUAAGUAGCUAGUGAAAUCUGGUGGCUCAACCAUUCAGACUAUUAGCUAAACUGUUAAGCUCGAGACCGUUAGGGGUAACUGGAAUUUCUAGUGUAGGAGUGAAAUCCGUAGAUAUUAGAAGGAACACCAAUAGCGUAGGCAGGUUGCUGGGACGGUUCUGACACUGAGGCACGAAAGCGUAGGGAGCAAACGGGAUUAGAUACCCCUGUAGUC